GAUGAACGCUGGCGGCGUGCUUAACACAUGCAAGUCGAACGGAAAGGCCCAAGCUUGCUUGGGUACUCGAGUGGCGAACGGGUGAGUAACACGUGGGUGAUCUGCCCUGCACUUCGGGAUAAGCCUGGGAAACUGGGUCUAAUACCGGAUAGGACCACUUCUUGGAUGUUGUGGUGGAAAGUUUUUUCGGUGUGGGAUGAGCUCGCGGCCUAUCAGCUUGUUGGUGGGGUAAUGGCCUACCAAGGCGUCGACGGGUAGCCGGCCUGAGAGGGUGUACGGCCACAUUGGGACUGAGAUACGGCCCAGACUCCGACGGGAGGCAGCAGGGGGGAAUAUUGCACAAUGGGCGCAAGCCUGAUGCAGCGACGCCGCGUGGGGGAGGACGGCCUUCGGGUUGUAAACUCCUUUCGCUAGGGACGAAGCGUUUUGUGACGGUACCUGGAGAAGAAGCACCGGCUAACUACGUG
This 467-nucleotide ribosomal RNA is filed under the name uncultured bacterium. RNAcentral describes it as "partial 16S ribosomal RNA". It matches the Rfam family "Bacterial small subunit ribosomal RNA", at positions 28 to 507 of the family's 1533-position model. The record is from RNAcentral.